This 253-nucleotide ribosomal RNA is filed under the name uncultured bacterium. RNAcentral describes it as "partial 16S ribosomal RNA". It matches the Rfam family "Bacterial small subunit ribosomal RNA", at positions 524 to 776 of the family's 1533-position model. The record is from RNAcentral.
GACGAACCGUGCGAACGUUAUUCGGAAUCACCGGGCUUAAAGGGCGCGUAGGCGGGCCGAAAAGUCAGGGGUGAAAUCCUCCAGCCCAACUGGAGAAGCGCCUUUGGUACUGUCGGCCUCGAGGGGUGCAGGGGCAUGCGGAACUCAGGGUGGAGCGGUGAAAUGCGUAGAUAUCCUGAGGAACACCGGUGGCGAAAGCGGCGUGCUGGACACCUUCUGACGCUGAGGCGCGAAAGCCAGGGGAGCGAACGGG